Molecule: ribosomal RNA, 165 nt
Filed under: uncultured bacterium
Lineage: Bacteria
Description: partial 16S rRNA
Rfam family: Bacterial small subunit ribosomal RNA
Source: RNAcentral
UAGGAAAUCUUCGGCAAUGGACGAAAGUCUGACCGAGCAACGCCGCGUGAGUGAAGAAGGUUUUCGGAUCGUAAAACUCUGUUGGUAGAGAAGAACGUUGGUGAGAGUGGAAAGCUCAUCAAGUGACGGUAACUACCCAGAAAGGGACGGCUAACUACGUGCCAA